GCGGAAUUCUCCACGAGUUUUGAGCAGCGUCGGUUUUCCCACCACCUCCAAAUCAUGCAAGACACAGGGUGCAGGCAGAGCCCCCGGAGCCAUGGCCAGCCCUUCCGGCAGCUCCGAAGCCACUGGCAAGCCCCGAGGCAGGGAUGGCCGGCCCAGGAGGGAGGAGGACGACGUCCCUCCCGAGGAGAAGAGGCUGCGCCUGGGGCUGGAGGGGGGAAGCGCACAGCCCGAGGACUGCGAGGACGGGGAGGACGCGCCGCGGCCGGGCAGGGAGGAGACCGGCACCCAGACAGGUGGCGACGGCAGAGGAGUCUGUUCUUCCCCUGGAUUGUAAACUCCUUGAUGUCUGGGUCAUCUCAGCUCAUGAGCUGAGCUUUCAGUGGGUGCUUAGUGUAACAGGUGCUGAAUGGAGUCAGGCUCUAGGGAGGUCAGCGUGUGUUGGAAGGAAAAUACAUGUACGGCCAACUUCCUUGAGGGUUCGUUCUUUUGCAUCAGCGUGUCUCAAACUCCUGCCCUUAAAACACCUGCAAGAAAAUCAUCCAGGCGGCUUGCUCGCUCUGCUUGCAGACCCUUUAGAAUCAGAGUCAGAAUCCCUGGGGCUGGAGCCACAAAAUGAAAUGACAUUUCAACAAGUCUGUCAUUACAUAAGAGAGAAUAG
This 658-nucleotide small RNA is filed under the name Pongo abelii (Sumatran orangutan). Its description in RNAcentral is "processed transcript". Lineage: Eukaryota; Metazoa; Chordata; Mammalia; Primates; Hominidae. The record is from RNAcentral.